Molecule: long non-coding RNA, 909 nt
Organism: Olea europaea var. sylvestris
Lineage: Eukaryota; Viridiplantae; Streptophyta; Magnoliopsida; Lamiales; Oleaceae
Exons: 2
Source: RefSeq, a predicted model, not a curated record
UUCCCCAAAAAAUUCAUUAGAUGUCAAAUAGGGGCUCAAGUAGAUAGGUAACUGUACAUUGUUGUUUUGGAGCAUGACAGUGCAUUCUCCCUGAUUAACAGAUGCAGGCGCUAUAUAGGAUAGGAAGGGGUGAGUUACCACCGAUUCCCAUUUCUCUUUCCAGCGAUGCACGUGAUUUUAUCCUUAAAUGUCUACAAGUUGAUGCAAGUGCACGUCCGACAGCAUCUCUGCUCUUGGAUCAUCCCUUUGUGAAGCGACCACUGCCAGCAUCUUUGGGCUCGGCUUCUCCUUACAAUUUUGGCCAGCGGAUUUAAGAAAUUCUUUUGAGAUUAAUUCUUUUUCCUUCCAUGGGCACAAAAAAUGAAAAGAGCGAAGGAGGAAAAAAGGAAAAACUAAGUGACCCCAAAAAAAUACGGCUAGAUGUUCCCCAGACGAGUAAUGCCAUCUACCAUCAGUCAUCAUCAUCAUCAGUCUAGGUGGCAGUUUGGCAAUUGGACAACGAAUCAAGGGCCCGCUAUCACUUAGACUAUUGAUGAUCAUUACUGAUGAUAUAUAGCAUUAUUCUCCCCAGAUAGAGCACUUCAUGCACUCCGCUUGGUGACGAAUGCUCUUCCACCGGAUUCUUUCCUUCCGAGUUCGACUCUCAUCCUCUUAUUGGACUAUCGACUAUCUGUCAGUUUCCAGAUUCUUAUUGUGCAUACAGGAGAUGUUCAAAACUUUCUUGACUAUCUCGGGGAAGGCUCAUUUUAAAUUUUUUAUUUGCUGCUUGUGGAAGAAAUUUUUCCUUCCCAAACAGUUACCAUGCAAUUAUUUUCUUGUUUGCUAGGGUGCUGUUUAGUUGUUCAACUUCUUUCUUACGGUUCUGUAUUUAGCAAUCAUCAAAUAUAAAUGUAUAUAGUCAAUCGUCUA